GACGAACGCUGGCGGCGUGCCUAACACAUGCAAGUCGAACGGAACUUCUUUAAAGGAUUUCUUCGGAAUGAAUUUGAUUAAGUUUAGUGGCGGACGGGUGAGUAACGCGUGAGUAACCUGCCUCUAAGAGGGGAAUAACAUUCUGAAAAGAAUGCUAAUACCGCAUAAUAUAUAUUUAUCGCAUGGUAGAUAUAUCAAAGAUUUAUCGCUUAGAGAUGGACUCGCGUCCGAUUAGUUAGUUGGUGAGGUAACGGCUCACCAAGACCGCGAUCGGUAGCCGGACUGAGAGGUUGAACGGCCACAUUGGGACUGAGACACGGCCCAGACUCCUACGGGAGGCAGCAGUGGGGGGAUAUUGCGCAAUGGGGGAAACCCUGACGCAGCAACGCCGCGUGAAGGAUGAAGGUCUUCGGAUUGUAAACUUCUUUUAUUAAGGUACGAAGAAAGUGACGGUACUUAAUGAAUAAGCUCCGGCUAACUACGUG
Molecule: ribosomal RNA, 485 nt
Filed under: uncultured bacterium
Lineage: Bacteria
Description: bacterial SSU rRNA
Rfam family: Bacterial small subunit ribosomal RNA
Source: RNAcentral